RNAcentral lists this long non-coding RNA (946 nucleotides) under Zonotrichia albicollis (white-throated sparrow). RNAcentral describes it as "lncRNA (ENSZALG00000005833.1)". The record is from RNAcentral. Lineage: Eukaryota; Metazoa; Chordata; Aves; Passeriformes; Passerellidae.
CCAAAGAGGUCUGGGGCUGACAGCACCUGCCCUGGGGACACCGCCUGACGGGGGUCUGAGAGGGUACACUGUGUGUGUCCUGUUUGUGAGCAGGCCUUUGGCAUUGUCUCCACAACUAGCAGUGAUGAGCACCUGAUAAUCCUGUAUUCUCCAAGCUGAGCUUUUGUGUGAAAGAACAUGAGGCCAUAUAGCGCCUGAGAAGAAGAAAGCAAAUUAUUGGAAAAGUGUUAUAAGAUGGGUGCACUAAGGCUGCUGCAAAAUGGAUGAAGCAAAAACAGGGAGAGAGAUUGAGGGGAUCACACAAGCACAGCUUUAGCACCUCUGGGGAAGUAAUGGCUGUUUUGUUUACAAUGGGCAGCCUGGAUCCAGUUCUUCCUUCCCAAAGUGCAUUUGUGCUGCAGAGAAUAUGUAGGGAUUGUGAAUGUACUCCUAAGUAGCAUUCCACAGUUGAACUAAUUGCCAGGCCAAGCGAGGGACCACAGUAAAUGGGUGAAUAAUUUGAUCCAAGAUGGAUUUGUACUCUACCAACACAGCCUGAAAUCUUCUAAUGCUUUUGGAUUUGACUGUGAGCUGUUCAUUGUUGUUUGAGCCUGUUCUUUUCUAUUACCAUAUUUUCUCUGGAUAUCAUUUCUGUGUACCUUAUCUUUGUAUAAAAGGCCACAUCUUUACCAUAUUUCCAGGGAGUAGUCAGUAGAGGCAUACAAAAUUUACUGCUGUAGACCAAAAUAUGACAGAUAAAGGUAGUGCAUUACAAAGUUCUUGCCCUCAAUCACGCAGAAGGCUCUCUAUGCUUCUGUGAGCAGUGGCACGAGUGUGGCUGCACUGUAAUGGGAGAAGGGUUAACAGCAAACCAAGACAUUUUCUGCAGCAAAAAGAGGUGGACUCUUCUCCAAGCAAUUACCUUUUAUGUAAUAAACAAUGUCAGUGGUCAAUAGAGGGAGUUUUC